CCCUUAGAUGUUCUGGGCCGCACGCGCGCUACACUGACGAAGUCAGCGAGCAUGUCCUACGCCGACAGGUGCGGGGAAUCUUGUCAAACUUCGUCGUGAUGGGGAUUGAUUAUUGAAAUUCUUGAUCAUCAACGAGGAAUUCCUAGUAAGCGCAAGUCAGCAGCUUGCGUUGAUUACGUCCCUGCCCUUUGUACACACCGCCCGUCGCUACUACCGAUUGAAUGGUUUAGUGAGAUCUUCGGAUUGGCGCCACUGCGGCUCAGCAAUGGGCUCGGUGGAUGCCGAAACGUUGAUCAAACUUGAUCAUUUAGAGGAAGUAAAAGUCGUAACA
RNAcentral lists this ribosomal RNA (331 nucleotides) under uncultured eukaryote. RNAcentral describes it as "partial 18S ribosomal RNA". It matches the Rfam family "Eukaryotic small subunit ribosomal RNA", at positions 1470 to 1796 of the family's 1831-position model. The record is from RNAcentral.